Molecule: ribosomal RNA, 253 nt
Filed under: uncultured bacterium
Lineage: Bacteria
Description: partial 16S ribosomal RNA
Rfam family: Bacterial small subunit ribosomal RNA
Source: RNAcentral
UACGUAGGUGACCAGCGUUGUCCGGAUUUACUGGGCGUAAAGAGCGCGCAGGCGGUCGUUCAAGUCGGGUGUGAAAGCCCCCGGCUCAACUGGGGAGGGUCACUCGAUACUGAUCGACUUGAAGGCAGGAGAGGGAAGCGGAAUUCCCGGUGUAGUGGUGAAAUGCGUAGAGAUCGGCAGGAACACCCAGGGGGAAACCAGUCGACUGGGCAGCAGCUGACGCUGAGGUGCGAGAGCGUGGGGAGCGAGCCGG